This is a long non-coding RNA of Bos taurus (domestic cattle), 641 nucleotides long. NCBI's taxonomy places the organism in Eukaryota, Metazoa, Chordata, Mammalia, Artiodactyla, Bovidae. The record is from Ensembl.
GUCCAGGUCUCUGCAUGCUGAAGCUGGAUGAAGGGUCAGGGUAAGCUGGGGAGGCAGGAAGGGGUCAGUGCAGGAGUGUGAUGAUCACCAGAGGCCUUGUGUCAGGGUUGUUAUGAGAAGGGAAGGAGAAAUACCUCUUUAAAUAAAAGCUUGGGCAUGUUUAGAGCAUGUGCAGAUGCUGAUAGGAGGGACCCUAUAGAGAAGGAGAAUUGAUGGAUAGCGUGUGGUCCUGAGAGUGUCAGAGGGAUAGGAUUUGUAGCUCAGCUCAGGGUUGGCCUGGGACACAAGUAGCAACACCUGUGUGUGAAAAGAGACCAGGAAAGGGGGAUGCAGUGCAGGUGGGCCUUUCUUACAGGUGGCUCACGGGAAGGUGAGGGAGUGCUGGCAGCGACCGUGUUUGCUCUGUGUUAGGAGACUUUGACCUCUGCACUGAGUAGACCUGCUUCAGCAUGAAGGACUGCACUUAAAGGGAUGCAUACUAUUCCAGCUCAAGCAACAGAUACUGAAGUGCAGAUCACUGUCCUUUGUUGAAAAGGAUCAGCAGUUUGUCAACAUAGGUAACACGCCAGAGCAAGCCUUGGGAUGCAACUCUGAAAACAGGUUAGGCCCUCUUUUCCCCAAGCCCUGCAAUAAAAUACAAA